RNAcentral lists this ribosomal RNA (301 nucleotides) under uncultured bacterium. Its description in RNAcentral is "partial 16S ribosomal RNA". It matches the Rfam family "Bacterial small subunit ribosomal RNA", at positions 509 to 807 of the family's 1533-position model. The record is from RNAcentral.
CAGUCGCCGCGGGAAUACGAAGGGGGCUAGCGUUGCUCGGAAUGACUGGACGUAAAGGGCGCGUAGGCGGAUUGCGCAGUCAGAUGUGAAAUUCCUGGGCUUAGCCUGGGGGCUGCAUUUGAGACGCGUAGUCUAGAGUGUGAAAGAGGGUCGUGGAAUUCCCAGUGUAGAGGUGAAAUUCGUAGAUAUUGGGAAGAACACCGGUGGCGAAGGCGGCGACCUGGUUCAUAACUGACGCUGAGGCGCGAAAGCGUGGGGAGCAAACAGGAUUAGAUACCCCCGUAGUCCCUGUCUCUUAUAC